CUCGUGGGUAGGUGCUGUCUAUGCAUCUCUAGCAAACAGAACCUAGUAAAGCAUCUGGAAUGAAUGAACCCAUCCAUCGAUCAGCAACUACUCGCCCCAUCUUGCAAAUCAAUCCACUUGAUUCUCACAAGAGCACUGUAAGAUGUAAAGGAUUGGUCAUGUACCACGUUUGCAAAUAUAUGGACAUGGAGGGCAAGGAAAUCAAGUGACUUCUCAAGUUCAUGAAGCUAAUUAAACAGCAAGGCAAGGACUUGACCCCAUGUCUUCCUGCUGCAGAUCCAGAGCACUUUUCUCUCUAUUCUAAGUACUUACAAGCAAGGAAAAUGAUACCAAGUCCUCUGUACUCUCCAGUGACUUUCCUUUCUUUCUCCCAGGGUUUUGGAGUCAAACUCAAUAGAGAUAUACACUGUAAAUUACAGUUCAAGAUUUCGGUCUGUGGCUAUUCGAUACAAUGUAGUACAAGGAUUUCACGUGUAAAACAGCAACUUUAA
This is a long non-coding RNA of Leopardus geoffroyi (Geoffroy's cat), 491 nucleotides long. RefSeq lists it as uncharacterized. The transcript is spliced from 2 exons. The record is from RefSeq and is a predicted model, not a curated record. NCBI's taxonomy places the organism in Eukaryota, Metazoa, Chordata, Mammalia, Carnivora, Felidae.